Molecule: ribosomal RNA, 252 nt
Filed under: uncultured Bacteroidales bacterium
Lineage: Bacteria; Pseudomonadati; Bacteroidota; Bacteroidia; Bacteroidales
Description: partial 16S ribosomal RNA
Rfam family: Bacterial small subunit ribosomal RNA
Source: RNAcentral
UACGGGGGAUGCAAGCGUUAUCCGGAUUUAUUGGGUUUAAAGGGUGCGUAGGCUGUCCGUUAAGUCAGCGGUAAAAUUUCGGGGCUCAACCCCGUCGUGCCGUUGAAACUGGCGUUCUUGAGUGAGCGAGAAGUAUGCGGAAUGCGUGGUGUAGCGGUGAAAUGCAUAGAUAUCACGCAGAACUCCGAUUGCGAAGGCAGCUUACCAGUCUGCGACUGACGCUCAGGCACGAAAGUGUGGGUAUCGAACAGG